ACAGAGGGAGAGAGGAGAAGCCCCUGAUACAUGUUCUCUAGGCCUUUUAGAAAACAUGCAGUUGUUCCUUUGGCCACAUAUAUGCUAAUAUACAAGAAAGGUGAUAUUGUAGACAUCAAGGGAAUGGGUACUGUUCUAAAAGGCAUGCCCCACGGAUGUCACCAUGGCAAAACUGGAGGAGUCUACAAUGUUCCCUAGCAUGCUAUUGGCAUCAUUAUAAACAAACAAGUUAAGGACAAGAUUCUUGCCAACAGGAUUAAGGUUCGUACUGAGCAUGUUAAGCUCUCUAAGAGCUGAGCUAGCUUUCUGAAACAGGUGAAAGAAAAUGAUCAGAAAAAGAAGGAAGCCAAAGAGAAAGAUACCUGGGUUCUACUGAAGUGCCAGCCUGUUCCACCCAGAGAAACACACUUUGUGAGAACCAGUGGAAAGGAGCCUGAGCUCCUGGAACCCAUUCCCUAUGAAUUCACGGCAUAA
Nycticebus coucang (slow loris) is the source of this 474-nucleotide RNA transcript. It is a transcript of the gene named 60S ribosomal protein L21-like, with no coding region annotated. The record is from RefSeq and is a predicted model, not a curated record. The transcript has a single exon. Lineage: Eukaryota; Metazoa; Chordata; Mammalia; Primates; Lorisidae.